Long non-coding RNA from Eriocheir sinensis (Chinese mitten crab), 3696 nucleotides. RefSeq lists it as uncharacterized. The record is from RefSeq and is a predicted model, not a curated record. The transcript is spliced from 3 exons. Lineage: Eukaryota; Metazoa; Arthropoda; Malacostraca; Decapoda; Varunidae.
UUUCGAAUGCUUGUCAGUGACGUCAUCAAGAUUGGCCACGCCCCCUCGUUACGUCACGCUCGAUCUCGGCCAAUCAGCUCCUCUGUUAUUGUAAGGGACUGUAGAGGGCCAAUUUUAGGCAAGAGAGAGAGAGAGAGAGAGAGAGAGAGAGAGAGAGAGAGAGAGAGAGAGAGAGAGAGAGAGUUAAUGGAGGUUACUUUGUCUGAUUAUAAUCAUGAAGUUGUCUGAUGCAUGACUGACUGACUGACUGACUGACUGACUGACGAUUGACGGACUUACUGGUUGACUGACUGACUGACUGACUGACGAUUGACGGACUUACUGGUUGACUGACUGACUGACUGACUGACUGACUGACGAUGACUGAUUUACUGGCUGACUGGCUGGCUGAAGAUUGACUGACUGACUGACUGACUGACUGACUGAUUGGCUGAAUGAUGGCUGACUGACUAAAUGACUGACUGAAUGUCGUUUUUUGAGACUGUAUUUCUUAAGUGACUGACUGACUGACUGACGGACUAAAUAACUAACUGAAUGCCUUUUUUGACUCUAGUUUUUGUAGUGACUGACUGACUGACUAACUGACUGACGUACUAACCAACCAAAUGACAUAGUGACUGACUGUCUAACUGACUGAUUAAGUAACUGAGUGACUGACAAAAUGGCUUACUGAAUACCUUUUUUUUUUACUAAUUUCUAUGGUUACUGACUAACUGACUGACAUCCAACUGACUGACUGACUACAUGGCUAACUGAAUGCCUUUUUAACUCAUUUCUAUACUGACUGACUGACCGACUAACUGACGAAAUGGCUAACUAGAUGCCAUUUUGUGACUGUCAGUUAUGUAUAGUGACUGGCACCCACGUUGGACCCAGUCGGUGAAGGCACUCAGAUCUGUAGGGAGGGGGGGGCGGAGGGGGGCGAGGGGGGCAAGGGGGGUCGCACUUGUAGAUGAAGGGUGGAUGGACUGUAUUAAUAGUAGCUAGCACUCAGCACCGCCGUCCAAGAGGUGCUGACGACUGCGGUUCACGAUCUCCCCUUCGCUAUAGUCUGUUGUGCGGGGAAAUAACAGACCACGCCCACUAUUUUUCCUCUCUCGGUUUUGAUUGGCCAAGCGGCAGCCAAUCACAGCGCUGGAUAUCGUUGGUUGGAUUUAGCUUUUGCCCAGGAAGCGAUCUCUCCGUGGAAUGUAAAAGUCAAUCAGUCUAUCCAUCAAUCAAUCAGCCAGUCAGUCAGUCAGUCAAUCAGUUAGUCACUCACUCAAUAAAUAAAUAAAUAAGCUAAAAAUUAAAUAAUACACUAAAAAGCACCAGGAAAUAUCAACCUAACGCAAUUUCUAGUUCCUAAAGUGUCAAUGAUUGCGAAAAAACAUAAAUAACAGCCAUAAUUACACUUAACUGGAAUAUACGUAAAUAAGAGUAAGUAGAUCUCUUCUUUUUCGUAUAUUUGUUUUCAUUCAUCACACGACAUCGAUGAAUGGAAUGAAUGUGUGUACUAUAGUCUGUUUCAUUCCAUCUGUCCACCAACAAAGUGGGAAUUUUGAUGGAUGUGGCACCUGCGCAUUUCUAGUUCGUGAAUACGUGAAAAUCAACUGUUGGAAUAGACAUUCAAGCUUAUUUUUCAGUAAUACAUUUGAAUGUUUAUAUAUACAAAAAACAACUCAUGGAUAAUCUAACAUACAAGCACAGGAACCUGAAUGAGAUGAAAUAUGGGUAUCUGAAAGGCUGUAGGUCGUUCAAGUAUGAUCAGACUAUACUGUUUGAUAUACAAGUUGUUCCUUCGUGUGCUUGUAUGGUAGAUUAUCGAUGCAAAUCUCCUGCUUGCGGUUCAUAUGAGAUGACUUGAGUUUUUUUUUUUUUUUUUGUAUACAAACAUUCAAAUAUAUCACUGAAAAUAUUAAAUUGAUCUUCACGCAAUCACGAACUAACAAUGCGCAGGUGCCACAUCUACGUUCGCGAGUGGACAGACGGAAUGAAACGGACUAUAGCAGUGAGGUAUGUGAAAAGAAGAAGUGUUGUGUUGAUAAGUAAUGUCCGUUAUGUGAUUUAUGUGAUGAAAGGAGAUGCUGUGUUAGAAUUAGUACGUGACAAUGAAGAUACUGGUGAAGAGAACUAUUGUAUUAGUAACAGUAGGAUUUGUUUGAAAUGAAGGAAUCUUGUCCCCCAGCAGUGAGGUAUGUGAAGAGGAGAGCUGUCGUGUUGAUAAGUAAUGUCUGUUCUGUGAUGAGAGGGAAUGCUGUGUUAGAGUUAGUAUGUGACAUUGAAGAUAUUGAUGAAGAGGACUGUUGUGUUAGUAAUAGUGGGAGUUACGUGGAAUGAAUGAAUGUUGUGCCCCAGCAGUGAGGUAUGUGAAGAGGAGAGCUGUCGUGUUGAUAAGUAAUGUCUGUUCUGUGAUGAGAGGGAAUGCUGUGUUAGAGUUAGUAUGUGACAUUGAAGGUACUGGUGAAGAGAACUGUUGUGUUAGUAAUAGUGGGAGUUACGUGAAAUGAAUGAAUGUUGUGCCCCAGCAGUGAGGUAUGUGAAGAGGAGAGCUGUCGUGUUGAUAAGUAAUGUUUGUUCUGUGAUGAGAGGGAAUGCUGUGUUAGAAUUAGUACGAGACAUUGAAGAUAUUGGUGAAGGGAACUGUUGUGUUAGUAAUAGUGGGAGUUAUGUGAAAUGAAUGGAUAUUGUGUACUAGCAGUGUGAAGAGGCGAGAAGUUGUGUUGGUAUUAGCAGUGACUUGUGUGAAGAGACGGAAUGCUGUGGUAGUAUUAGUGAGUGGCACUGAAGGGAUUUAUGAGCAGAAGAACUGUUGUGUUGGUAUUAGAGGUCACUUGUGUAAAGAGAAGGAAUGCUGUGUUAGUAUUAGUGACACUGAAGGGAUUGAUGAGGAACUGUUGUUUUAGUAUGAGUAAUGUCUAAAGUUAUGUGAAUAGAAGGAAUGCGUUAGUAAUAGCAGUGAGUUAAGUGAAGAAAAGGAAUGUUAUGUUAGUGUUCGUAGUGGUUUAAACUUUAUGAAGGAAAGGAAUGUUGUGUUAUAGUGAAACCAAAUUAGUAUUCGUUUAAACUUUAUGAAGGAAAGGAAUGUUAUGUUAUAGUGAAACCAAAUUAGUAUUCGUUUAAACUUUAUGAAGGAAAGGAAUGUUGUGUUAUAGUGAAACCAAAUUGUCGAGUCCGUUUUGGCGUUGGCACCCACAGAUCCAUUUCUCCCCUCUGCUCUGCCACACAGUCCCAACACCUAUUUUUUCCUCUCAUAUGUUACCUAUAGCUUACAUAUGAGAGGAAGAGAUAGGUGUUGGGACUGUGUGGCAGAGCAGAGGGGAGGAAAGGACCCAUGGGAGCCUACGCCAGACCGCCCUCGACAUAUUUGGAAGACUUAUAGUAUUAGCAACCGUUCAAAUUAUAUAUAUGAAGAGAAUGAAUGUUGUGUUUGUAUUAGUAUGUGCCACUGAAAAGAUCAACGAGGAGAAAAUUAAUCUGCCUUGUUAGUAUUCGUAAGUGUUACUGAAGAGAAUUACAGGUAAAUAAUGAGAGAUAGCCCUGAAAAAUUUGUUGGAUCGAGACCACUGCAUGGAUGCCGAAUAUAUAAUCAUACCCCAUUACAACCACCACCACCACCAUCAUCAUCAUCAUCACCAUUGUUAUCAUUAUCGUCAUCAUUACUCUUAUUAUGACAGUCAUUAACGCUUCUCUUUUUCUCCUCUGCGUGUGUGUCUA